CACAUGCAAGUCGAGCGGUAACAGGAGAAGCUUGCUUCUCGCUGACGAGCGGCGGACGGGUGAGUAAUACUUAGGAAUCUACCUAGUAGUGGGGGAUAGCACGGGGAAACUCGUAUUAAUACCGCAUACGACCUACGGGAGAAAGGGGGCAGUUUACUGCUCUCGCUAUUAGAUGAGCCUAAGUCGGAUUAGCUAGAUGGUGGGGUAAAGGCCUACCAUGGCGACGAUCUGUAGCUGGUCUGAGAGGAUGAUCAGCCACACCGGGACUGAGACACGGCCCGGACUCCUACGGGAGGCAGCAGUGGGGAAUAUUGGACAAUGGGGGAAACCCUGAUCCAGCCAUGCCGCGUGUGUGAAGAAGGCCUUUUGGUUGUAAAGCACUUUAAGCAGUGAAGAAGACUCCAUGGUUAAUACCCAUGGACGAUGACAUUAGCUGCAGAAUAAGCACCGGCUAACUCUGUGCCAGCAGCCGCGGUAAUACAGAGGGUGCAAGCGUUAAUCGGAAUUACUGGGCGUAAAGGGAGCGUAGGUGGCUCUAUAAGUCAGAUGUGAAAUCCCCGGGCUUAACCUGGGAACUGCAUCUGAAACUGUAGAGCUAGAGUAUGUGAGAGGAAGGUAGAAUUCCAGGUGUAGCGGUGAAAUGCGUAGAGAUCUGGAGGAAUACCGAUGGCGAAGGCAGCCUUCUGGCAUAAUACUGACACUGAGGCUCGAAAGCGUGGGUAGCAAACAGGAUUAGAUACCCUGGUAGUCCACGCCGUAAACGAUGUCUACUAGUCGUUGGGUCCCUUGAGGACUUAGUGACGCAGCUAACGCAAUAAGUAGACCGCCCUGGGGAGUACGGCCCGCAAG
Molecule: ribosomal RNA, 849 nt
Filed under: Psychrobacter cibarius
Lineage: Bacteria; Pseudomonadati; Pseudomonadota; Gammaproteobacteria; Moraxellales; Moraxellaceae
Description: bacterial SSU rRNA
Rfam family: Bacterial small subunit ribosomal RNA
Source: RNAcentral